RNAcentral lists this ribosomal RNA (668 nucleotides) under uncultured beta proteobacterium. RNAcentral's name for it is "bacterial SSU rRNA". It matches the Rfam family "Bacterial small subunit ribosomal RNA", at positions 47 to 712 of the family's 1533-position model. The record is from RNAcentral. Lineage: Bacteria; Pseudomonadati; Pseudomonadota; Betaproteobacteria.
CCUUACACAUGCAAGUCGAACGGUAACAGGUCUUCGGAUGCUGACGAGUGGCGAACGGGUGAGUAAUACAUCGGAACGUGCCCGAGAGUGGGGGAUAACGAAGCGAAAGCUUUGCUAAUACCGCAUACGAUCUCAGGAUGAAAGCAGGGGACCGCAAGGCCUUGCGCUCACGGAGCGGCCGAUGGCAGAUUAGGUAGUUGGUGGGAUAAAAGCUUACCAAGCCGACGAUCUGUAGCUGGUCUGAGAGGACGACCAGCCACACUGGGACUGAGACACGGCCCAGACUCCUACGGGAGGCAGCAGUGGGGAAUUUUGGACAAUGGGCGCAAGCCUGAUCCAGCCAUGCCGCGUGCAGGAUGAAGGCCUUCGGGUUGUAAACUGCUUUUGUACGGAACGAAAAGACUCUGGUUAAUACCUGGGGUCCAUGACGGUACCGUAAGAAUAAGCACCGGCUAACUACGUGCCAGCAGCCGCGGUAAUACGUAGGGUGCGAGCGUUAAUCGGAAUUACUGGGCGUAAAGCGUGCGCAGGCGGUUAUGUAAGACAGAUGUGAAAUCCCCGGGCUCAACCUGGGAACUGCAUUUGUGACUGCGUAGCUAGAGUACGGCAGAGGGGGAUGGAAUUCCGCGUGUAGCAGUGAAAUGCGUAGAUAUGCGGAGGAACACCGA